AGCCAUGCAUGUCCAAGUACCUGCCGCAAAACAAAAAAGGCGAAACCGCGAAUGGCUCAUUAAAUCAGUUUUGGUUCCUUGGAUCGUACCCACCUACUUGGAUAACUGUGGCAAUUCUAGAGCUAAUACAUGCAGCAGAGCUCCGACCUUCGGGGACGAGCGCUUUUAUUAGACCAAAACCAAUGCGGACCUCGCGUCCGUCUGAAACGUGGUGACUCUGUAUAACUUUGGGCUGAUCGCACGGGCUCGUCCCGGCGACGUAUCUUUCAAGUGUCUGCCUUAUCAACUUUCGAUGGUAGGCCACGCGCCUACCAUGGUCGUAACGGGUGACGGGGAAUCAGGGUUCGAUUCCGGAGAGGGAGCCUGAGAAACGGCUACCACAUCCAAGGAAGGCAGCAGGCGCGCAAAUUACCCACUCCCGGAACGGGGAGGUAGUGACGAAAAAUAACGAUACGGGACUCUUUUGAGACCCCGUAAUCGGAAUGAGCGCACCACAAAGCCUUGUUCGAAGGCCGAUUAGAGGGCAAGCCUGGUGCCAGCAGCUGCGGUAAUUCCAGCUCUAAUAGCGUAUAUUAAAGUUGCUGCGGUUAAAAAGCUCGUAGUUGGAUCUCAGUUCCAGACGGGCCGGCCCCCUUACCGGCGGAUACCGGCCCGAUCUGAACGUCCCGGCCGGUUCCCCUUCGUGAUCUUUACCGGUUGUGUCGGGCGGACCGGCACGUUUACUUUGAAAAAAUUAGAGUGCUCAAAGCAGGCGUGACGCCUGGAUAAUGGUGCAUGGAAUAAUGGAAAAGGACCUCGGUUCUAUUUUGUUGGUUUUCGGAACGCGAGGUAAUGAUUAAGAGGGACGGACGGGGGCAUUCGUAUUGCGACGCUAGAGGUGAAAUUCUUGGACCGUCGCACGACGAACUACUGCGAAAGCAUUUGCCAAGAAUGUUUCCAUUAAUCAAGAACGAAAGUCAGAGGUCCGAAGGCGAUCAGAUACCGCCCUAGUUCUGACCGUAAACCAUGCCAGCCAGCGAUCCGGCUGUGUUCCUCAAAUGACACGCCGGGCAGCUUCCGGGAAACCAAAGCUUUUGGGUUCCGGGGGAAGUAUGGUUGCAAAGCUGAAACUUAAAAGAAUUGACGGAAGGGCACCACCAGGAAUGGAUCAUGCGGCUUAAUUUGACUCAACACGGGUAAACUUACCCAGUCCGGACACAGGAAGGAUUGACAGAUUAAGAGCUCUUUCUUGAUUCUGUGGGUUGUGGUGCAUGGCCGUUCUUA
RNAcentral lists this ribosomal RNA (1263 nucleotides) under Asceua sp. 2 AH-2017. Its description in RNAcentral is "SSU rRNA". It matches the Rfam family "Eukaryotic small subunit ribosomal RNA", at positions 47 to 1296 of the family's 1831-position model. The record is from RNAcentral. Lineage: Eukaryota; Metazoa; Arthropoda; Arachnida; Araneae; Zodariidae.